GCUGAUCAUCACUUUCACCAUUUUAGCGAUUUCUGGACGUUUUAUUGCCAUCACGUAAAAACUGGUCGUGCUCAUCGAAUAACCGACGUAUUACCACGAGAGUUGCCCAACCAAACGUCGUAUCCUUGAUCGGCUAAUAUGAAACCUGCAAUAAGGAUGUUGUUCGCAUAUAAAAAUGGGAAUAAUUUGCACACAAUAAGAGAAUAGAUAUGGAGAACAGUGAAAUUUUGUAUAUGAAAUUUGGCAAAUACGAUCCAGUCGAUGGAGCUGGACAAAAGACCGUGUUGCAGUAACACGGACGGAGAGUUUUUCCUACCUGGAAU
Linepithema humile (Argentine ant) is the source of this 323-nucleotide non-coding RNA. Lineage: Eukaryota; Metazoa; Arthropoda; Insecta; Hymenoptera; Formicidae. The record is from RefSeq and is a predicted model, not a curated record.